Molecule: transfer RNA, 72 nt
Filed under: Heterocephalus glaber (naked mole-rat)
Lineage: Eukaryota; Metazoa; Chordata; Mammalia; Rodentia; Bathyergidae
Rfam family: tRNA
About the family: Transfer RNA (tRNA) molecules are approximately 80 nucleotides in length.
Source: Rfam by way of RNAcentral
UGGAGUGUAGCUCAGUGGCAGAGUGCCUGCUCAUCACUGCCAAGGUCCUGGGUUCAAUCCCCAGCAAUGCAA